This 453-nucleotide ribosomal RNA is filed under the name Picoa juniperi. Its description in RNAcentral is "eukaryotic LSU rRNA". The stretch from base 138 to 291 matches the Rfam family "5.8S ribosomal RNA". Lineage: Eukaryota; Fungi; Ascomycota; Pezizomycetes; Pezizales; Pyronemataceae. The record is from RNAcentral.
GCUGCGCGUGCUGCAAAGUGUGCCUCCUGGAUGUCGCCACCGGGUGUGGUACUCCCUGAGCGUCCGCACGGAAGGCUUUACCAAAAAUCUUGUGUUUCCCAUGUCUUCUGUCUGAACUGUCAUAUAAAAUAAAUUAAAACUUUCAACAACGGAUCUCUUGGUUCUCGCAUCGAUGAAGAACGCAGCGAAAUGCGAUAAGUAGUGUGAAUUGCAGAAUUCCGUGAAUCAUCGAAUCUUUGAACGCACAUUGCGCCUCCUGGUAUUCCGGGAGGCAUGCCUGUUCGAGCGUCAUUAAAAUCAAAUCAAGCACUGGUGCUUGGUCAUGGCGGAAGAGACCACCCUGCGGUCUCCCCACCGAAAUCCAAUGGCGGAAAGUCUCCGGUACUCGGCGUAGUAGUAACGUUCGCUUCGUAUCCGGAGUCCUACCUGCCGACAAACCCCUCACCAUUCUCU